RNAcentral lists this long non-coding RNA (5830 nucleotides) under Equus caballus (horse). RNAcentral's name for it is "lncRNA (ENSECAG00000043865.1)". Lineage: Eukaryota; Metazoa; Chordata; Mammalia; Perissodactyla; Equidae. The record is from RNAcentral.
CGGAACCUCAGGAAGAGGGCUGAGAAAGGGCAGUGACCCUGGGCAAGGUCACUAGUGGGCCUGGGCCUGGGAUGCAGGCAGUGUGACUGGGAGGCCUGCCUGAGCUUGUCCCACCAUCUCAGGUUUCGAGCAGAUCCCUCUGGGCCUGGGUUGGCCUGUGUCCCUGAGGAGGCCCCCUCUGCCCCGCAGCCGCAGCCCCCACCCAGCCCGAGGUGGGCGGAGAGGCCUCCGUCUCAGGCAGGCGCAGCACCUGCCCAGGGGCUCCAUAAAUGUCUGACUUAAUCGGAGCCAGGCAAGGGCUGCUGCGGGCUCAGAUGCCAGCUCCCUUGCCCUCUGAGGAGGAUGCGAAGUCACCAGUGGGCUUUCCCUGUCUUGGCCCUGUACACUGAGAACUGGGGGCAGGUGUCGGCGCUGUGCAUUGUUUCUGUUAUUCCAUAACUGUGGAGUGAUCACCUACUAUGUGCUAGGCACUGUUCUAGGUGCUGGGGAUACAGCGGGGAACUAAAAAGACAAAAUUCCUGCCUUAGUGGAGCUUAUAUUUUAGUCGGGAUAAAUAAGCAAAAUAAACGAGAAGGUAAAAUUGGCUAUUUGAAGAAACAGAGCAGGGUAGAGUGAGGAGAAUGAAGAGCUGAGGAGGUGGAGGGUGUUGCAGUUUUAAAUGGGACGGUCAAGGAUGGCCUCACUGAGAUGACAUUUGACAAAGACUUGAAGGAAGUGAGACAGAGCCAUGAGGAUAUCCCUGGGGAAGAGCAUUCGAGGCAGAGGAAACAGCAAGUACAAAGGUCCUGAGAUCUUUUUGGUGAGGCGUAUUUUGGGCAUAUUUGGUGAGUUGGAGGAAAAGCAAAGAGACCAGAGCGGCUGGAGUGGAGUAACUGGGAGGAGGGAAAUAGGAGAGCUCACAGGUGGGAGUAGGUGUUGUCGUUCAUGUAGGGUCUUGUGGGCCAUUAUAAAGACUUUGGCUUUUAUUCUGGUGAAAUGGGGCGUCCGUGCAGGGCUUUUAACAAAAGAGUGUCUUGGUCUGACCUACAUUUUAGGAAUAUCAGUGUGGCUGCAGUGCUGAGAAUACUGCUAAUAGUUCAGGAAAGAGAUGGUGGUGGAUGGACCAGGGUGAUAGCUGCGGGGGUGGGGAGUGUAUUGGAUGCUGGAUACUGCAUCUGAGGAUGGAGCUGACAGUCUGGAAUGCCAGGGAGGAGGAAGCAUCAAGUCAUAAUCAGCAUCAUCCCUUCUAGGGGUACCUGACUCUAGCUUUCCAAGAGUUCUCACAUGCAGGUUCGUCUCUCAUCCCCUGGCAGCCUUGAGGCUGUUCUUGGGAAGAACAGAUGUUGUGGACCCUGCUGACCAAUGAGGAAGCUGAAACUCAGGCUGUAAGAGAUGUGAGAAGGGAAGAUGAAGAGAUGCCUUCUGACGACCAGCAUAACCUCAGGCACUCCCAAAGACCUAUGGGUGAGGAAGGUUGACCUGAUGAGCCCCAGACACUGUGGAUAGCCUAAGAAAAGGGGAAAUAGAAUGUUCAAGUUUCAACAGGGGACCCUUUGGUGCCCUGGUCCCUUGGUUCCACCAAGAGGGAAUAGGAAAAGAAAGAGAAAGGAUCUCCAUAGGAGAUAUUUCCCCUCUCCCUCAAAGCCUCAUAUUCUCCUCUCAACUCUAGCAUAGACGUCUGUCUCUCCAGAUGUUUGCCUGGCAUGUUCUCUCCCCUCUGGUCCAGGGGAGAAAUUCGUGUGCAUUUUUUGAGACCCAAGCCAAAGGUCACCGAGAAGCCUUGCUCAACAUCUGACACAUCCUUUGUGAUCCCACAGCAGUGUUAUUUCUCUCUGUGAUAGGACUUCUAAUAACACACUUUGCCAUCAUAACAACUGAUGAUUAGACUGCCUCACUGUCUACACUGUCUCCAGUGUGGCCGCACUGUAAUGUAAAUUUCUGGUGUCCAUCUCUCCGCCCUGCUAGCUGAUAAGUUCCAAGAUAAGGCCUGUGUCUUCAUGAGGGCAGAGUGAAGCCGGAAUCCUGCCUCAGCAUGUGCUGCCUGGGCAGUGGCUUUCGCCUCUCCAUGCCUAGAGACAUACCGGUGAUGGCAUGAGGAGACGGUCCCCAAAUUGUCUUCCGGGCAUUGGUAUUACAGGUUUGACAAUGAUGUGGAAAACCACACCCUGUAGGCCGAAUCCAGCCUUGAGGCCUGGUGAUACCCGGCAGGAAAGAAGCGAAGUGGAAGAUGGCUCAGGAAGUCUGACUCCAGGCUAAUUCCUUGAGGAAAGCUGGCUUGCCAGGAGCGGUGGAGGCAAGCUGUUGGCUCAGAGUGAAGGAAGAUUUCUGAAAAUACAAAACAUGAUGUCAAGGGGGAGCAAUCUCUGAGGGUCUUUUCUCCAGACUAUGGUAUCUUUGGAAUGGAAACCACACAGCUGCAUGAUGAUGCAGGAGGUUGCCAGAUUUCAUUCCAUGGUCCUGACCGCAGUCCAGGUUUGAUCGUCAGCUAUUUAACACACAAGAAGCAGACGAUGUUUAUGACUUCAGACAGCGGCCUUGAUUUCACAGAGAAAAUAGGAAAGCUUAUUAUUUUGCACAUGAACCGUGAGAAGCAGACCAGCUUACUCCCACGAAGGCUGGUCACCUGGUGCCCUGAUGAAGAUUUCUCAGAGGGAAUGUGUGGCCCCUCAUCCCAGUGGCUACCUAGUCACUUCUCAAGAAAGUACAGUGCUCUGAUGACUGGGCGGACGUGCGCGGCCUCUGACUGCGGCCGUGGUGAUGUUCUCUCACACUGUAAAGGGGAGGAACGGGCCCCAGCAUGGAGACUGAUGGAAUCAACACGACUCUGCUGUAAUUUGCAUUCCUUUCUUUCUCAAGGAUGGAAAUUAAUAUUUGGCAUCUAUGAGCCUUUUUUCGAACUUAUCUAAGAAUAAAACCCUCAUUGUUGGAUGCCAUGUCUUGAUAAUAAAUGGCAACAUUAUUCCAUUAUUCUGCAACGCCACAGGGACUCGCCCGGCCCAGGGCGGGUGAAGGUUGGGGGAGGGAAGAGGAGCUUCCUGGGUGAAGAGGCCUCAGCAACACGAAGCCAGGUUGAGGUAUUUCAUCCUCGCUGCUCACAUCAGAGCACAACAGUGUUUUGACCCGUGGGAAAGCACUUUGAAAACAUCUGCCUUUCCAUUUUUCUUCUCUUUGAUUUCACUGAAUUCAAUUCCAUACGUGGUUAUUAAGCAGCUACUAAAUAUCAGGAUGGUGCUGAAUUCCCUCCCUCUCCAUCCCAACCAAGCAAACAAAAGAGGAGGAGGAUGUCCCUGUCCUCCUGGAGGUUGGGAUCUGCUGGGGAGACAGACGGAUGUUUAAAAUGGCCAGACAAGAACACAGGCCAGAGCAGAUCAGCUGCGGAGUGGCCAUUGAUGUCGUUUCUGCCUAUCUCCAGUCUCUAUCUUCUGGUUCCGUCCCAUUUGGCUUUCGAGGAAUCGCCUCAAACCAGCAUCAUUCAGGGCCUGUCGGGGGAGAUGCCAGCCCUCCUCCAGCCAGGGCUGGGCACGUGGCCGCCAGGCAGCUCGACCCUCCUCCCAGGCCGGUGAGUCUUGCCUGGAGGGACACAAGGAUAAAGGAAGAGGAAACACACUCACACAUACUCAUUCACAUCCCUCUUCAGACUGUUCAGCACAGAGGCCCAGAUGAGACAGCCCACCUCCUUUUGUUCCCCAGACCCCAAGGGUCAGCCCAGGUUCCUGCCUGUUCCAAGCCAGCUUCUGUGUUCCUUUGGUUCUGUGGUUCUCCUAUUUCCUGUCAUCCAUUCCCUUUGUGCUCAGAGGUAGUUUUUGUUGCUUUCAAACAAAGAACCUGAGUGGGACACCUGGCAAGUUAUUUUUAUGUCCAUCAGAGUUGGAAAAGAUUAGAGAACAUGACUAGCGCUCAGGGAGACUGACAGAACUGUCCAGAGCCCAGACUCAGACAGAGAAAUGCUGGCCCUGCAGCUGUGAACUCUGAAAACAGAAGAAAGACUGCCUGAAAUAUAGAGAGCAUGGAACCCUUCUGUGUUGGUCAGAUGAACAGAGAUCUUUAUUUUAUUUUAUUUUUGAGGAAGAUUAGCUCUGAGCUAACAUCUGCUGCCAAUCCUCCUCUUUUUGCUGAGGAAGACUGGCUCUGAGCUAACAUCCACACUCAUCUUCCUCUACUUUAUAUGUGGGACGCCUGCCACAGCAUGGCUUGCCAAGCGGUGCAGUGUCCGCACCCGGGAUCUGAACUGGCAAACCCUGGGCCACCAAAGCGGAACGUGCAAACUUAACCACAGCGCCAUGGGGCCAGCUCCUGAACAGAGAUCUUAAUAUCGCCUCCCUGCUCUUCACCCCCUGCAUGCUCAGUACAGGACAUCCCACACAGUGGGAGUCACUGCUCAGAGGAAGCCUGUGGAUGGAUUCAGUUCCAUAGGUCACUCAUUGUGCCAGGUCCACGAGCCCCCAAAGGCCUGGCGGCCUGUCUGAACUCCGUACAUCUGCUAACCACCCUGGGGAUCAUCUGGGUUAAAAUCUUAAUCCUCAGGCAGCCUCCUCUCACCACCCCGUGUGCUCAGAGGGGGCUGUCUCCCCUACCAGUUGUUAAGGGAAUGUUUCAAAACUGGUUUGAACAAAAUGACUGAGGUGCUGUCUGUUGCUUGUGGCUCUCUGUCUCCUUGUAUCUCUGUCCCUCUCCUCCAGGUUAUGUAAUCAAGAACUGGCUGCUCUUUGCCGGGGGGACUAGGCCUACGUUGCCUUUUACAAAUCAUUAUGAAAUAUCUCCAACAUACGACAAGGCUUCAGGAAUACUACUGUGAACACCUGUGUGCUACCACUAAGCUCAAGAAAUAACACAUUAGGAACACAGUUGGGGCUCCUGUAAAUGCCUGCCAAGAGAGCCCCAGACUCUAACCCAGAGCUUUGCAGCUUCUCAUAGGUUUGGGAUCAAUAGCAGUUCAAGACGGGCCGCAGCUACACACAGCUUCUGUCUCCACUCAGGUCUACAAGAUUAAUAAUUAUUGUCCAGAUGACUAUAUUUCUCUGCAUCCAGAAUGAGUCACCAGUGGCAAGAUCAACACGGGCAGGCCUGUGUGGGGAGCUGAAAUUUUGGCUGUGCCCCCUUCUCAUCCUAAUAAUAACCACACAGUCGAGGUGGGGGGUGUUAUGACAUAUUGCCCAGACCCAUGACCUUCCCCUCUGCGCGGACCUCCUACAGAGCCACCACGCCCAACUUCUUCAGGCCGUGCUGGCUCUUCCCCCUCUUGGCUCCCUCUUUAAGCUCUGUAGUAUAUUACUGGCCUUAGGCCCUCCCUCAAUGUUUGUAAUCUAUGAAUAACUACUGUAAUUUUUGAGUAGCAGACACGUUAUACAGAAUUUACAGUAUAAAGAAUUACCCCAAAGAAUGUUCCAGUCUUCUACAGCCUGAGGGCCUGUUACAGAAGGAAACUGACUAAAGGAUUACAGUAACCUUAUCCUUAUUUUGCAGAUGGGGAAACUGAGGCCCAGAGAGCCCUGACCCCACAAUGGCGAGAACUUGGGCAGUAUUGGGGGUAGGGGUAUUAAACUUGCUGAGAAGGUGGGAUUUGAGGCAGAGUUCUGCCCAGACCUUCCACCAGGCUGAUGCUGACGUUCUGCCAGGCUAAUCCCUCCACUGUUUGGUGGUUUUUAGCCACUCGUGGUCAUGCUACAUUGUUCAAUGGAGGGACGCAGGGUGGCCUUAGUCUGUUUCCUGUGAGUUCUCCACGAGUACCAACUGCAGCCUCCAACUAACAAUUUGCAAAGUACUGACUGGUAUGUUGGUACAAUUUGCAAAGUACUGACUGGUGGUUUUGCUCAGCUGUAUCAUCUGUGACUAUGACAGUCUGAUAGAAUAA